This 422-nucleotide ribosomal RNA is filed under the name uncultured bacterium. Its description in RNAcentral is "bacterial SSU rRNA". It matches the Rfam family "Bacterial small subunit ribosomal RNA", at positions 355 to 774 of the family's 1533-position model. The record is from RNAcentral.
UGAGGAAUAUUGGUCAAUGGGCGGGAGCCUGAACCAGCCAAGUCGCGUGAGGGAAGAAGGAUCUAUGGUUCGUAAACUUCUUUUGCAGGGGAAUAAAGUGCAGGACGUGUCCUGUUUUGUAUGUACCCUGAGAAUAAGGAUCGGCUAACUCCGUGCCAGCAGCCGCGGUAAUACGGAGGAUCCGAGCGUUAUCCGGAUUUAUUGGGUUUAAAGGGUGCGUAGGUGGUUUGAUAAGUCAGCGGUGAAAGUUUGCAGCUUAACUGUAAAAAUGCCGUUGAAACUGUCGGACUUGAGUGUAAAUGAGGUAGGCGGAAUGCGUGGUGUAGCGGUGAAAUGCAUAGAUAUCACGCAGAACUCCAAUUGCGAAGGCAGCUUACUAAGCUACAACUGACACUGAAGCACGAAAGCGUGGGGAGCAAACA